This 3346-nucleotide long non-coding RNA is filed under the name Homo sapiens (human). RNAcentral's name for it is "HSALNT0206229". The record is from RNAcentral. Lineage: Eukaryota; Metazoa; Chordata; Mammalia; Primates; Hominidae.
AGAAACUCAGCCUUAAAUAUUGCUUAUCCAUGAAAAAGGAGAAGAUGAACUGAUGAUAAGGUGUGAGGGCAGCCUGCUACCUCAUGUCAGCAUCCAUUAUAAGGCACCAUGCAAAGUGACAUGACACAGAAUGACAGCUGCAGCCACCUCAACAUGGCAUCCGUGAAGCUGAUAUCGACGAGGCUGCCGUUACAUGUGCUCCACAUCCUAGCUGAGAAAAAAUGGAGAAAUGCUCAGAAACUAUGAAUGAAUGCAGAAAAACACCCUAACAGAAACACACAACUGAGUUGGCUUUACCAUUAAGGAUUUCAUUAAGAUCAAAGGAACCUGUUUCAUCCAUCUUAAACCUUCACCUGGCGAGGUGAUUUUUAUAAAUCAUAGUCUACUUUUAAAGUUAUGCUUACUAGAAAACAGGUCACAAUGUUACCCGGGAUGUGGGGGAUACACCAGGAGGGAGUGGAGGAACAUACUUGCAAAAACAUCCGCAUUCCCCUUUAGUGGAUACAUUUCUUGCUCCAGUUUUUAAGAAUCACUGUUUGGAGACUGGUUUACCCGUUUCUGUAUGCCAAAGACAACAAACAAUCCACUCCUCGGAGUCCAAGAACUCAAGAUACCGCUUGCAACUAUUCAUGUAAAAGGCAGCUAGACAUAAGGGCCUGUGUUUCCUCUCUUGAUAACCUAGCCUUUUUAUUCCUUUCACUGAGGACAACGCACCAGAUUAAAGCACAUUAAAAGAUAAGGCAUUCAGUACCAUUAACUCUCACUGUGGACAAUGUUUAUCUUCAGGUUGUGAGAAAUCUGCUAAAAAACAUAUGCAAUGUUGGCAUGUUUUUACUUACAAACCUUUGAUUUUUUUAACCUAGAAUGUUGGGAUUAGCUGAUGGCUCCUUUCCUUAUUUACAUUAUUUUUGCAGUUUUUUUAUUUAAUCGGUAAAUGGUUAGUAUUCCCAGGGCCUUCCUUACCACCCACACAUAUUUGCUGACAUAGUAACACUGACAAGGAAAUAAAUGCUUAAAGAACUGUGGGCUGGAAAUGAACUUUACAUGCCCUUAACCACUUAGCUAGACUCAAGUAAUGAAGCAUCAAAAAGCAAACCCAUCAGUUAGGUUUUGUAUGUGAAACAGAAAAAAUACUUAGUUUAACUUGUUAUCUAUAGAAGCAUAACACACCUAAAAUAAAGACGAAUGUUUUUUGUUUGUUUUGUUUUGUUUUGUUUUCUGAAGGACGACAUCAUAAUCCUGAAGCUCUGCUGGAAUUCUAGCUUCCGAGGUUUGGCUGAGGAAUGCCGUUGGUGAGGCUCAUGCCUUCCCAUACGCACACACAAUGAAGAGAUUCACUCCAGUUCCAUAUAAAUACACCAUGUUCCAGUAGUUGGCUUACUAACUCAUUGCCCUGAACUUGACCUUUUCCUAGAGAAGGAGUGUCGGAAAUGUGGUUAGCUUCUGAGGCAAAUCCAUAAAAGCCAACCUAACACAUAUUGAACACAGAGUAGCUUUCCAAACCCAUGGAGUAUGGAUCCGCUUUCCCUGUGUCAAUAUUGUUUCCAUGGAAAAAUCCUUACGCAUUCCAAGUGGGGUGUUCUCUCUCCAUAUGGGGAAGCCCAAGCACAUCCCACUCUAGCAAGAGAAACAGAUAAGCACACCCCACUCUAGCAAGAGAAACAGAGGUAGCUCCCUGCCUUACGUCCUGUUUUUUCCCAUUCUGACGGGGAGGAACGUCUUUAGCAUACAGUGGCACUACAGCUAAUGUGGAUUGAGUCAGUCACUCAAGAAUUCAGGGCUAUGCCAAGGUUGAAGAUCAGAAACGGUCUUCCUAGAAGGUGGCUGAAGGGUUACAGACUGUCAUCAGAAAAUCCUUACAAACCAGAUUUAGCUGGUGUCUCAAUCACCACUGUCACUUAUACCAUGUGCCCCACUUCUCAGGGACUCAUAUUUCCUGUCACCACCUCUUGUGGCUUCUGAACAGCACCUCCAGCUUUCUCUUCUGCCUCUUCCUUACAGGAGUCCUCCUCUCUCUGGAACAAAGGUGAUCUGGAGCAAGUUCAAGGGCAUUGACAUAGGGUGGAAAACAAAGAGGGUCAAACUUUUAGGGGCAGCAAACGGAGGGGCAAGGAACACACAAAGGAGAAAAACCCAAAGCCAUAGCUGUGCAAUAGAAGCCAAUUUACUUGAGGUGCUACUACAAAUGUUCAUUUUUAAGGUGAGUGGAGAGACUAGAAACUACCUUGGCAUUACAUAGCAAGGGCAUUUGGGGGGAUUUCUGUAUAAAUUUUACUAAAAUGUAAAUGGUGCAAAGAAUUUCCAUCUUAAGCCACUUGUAUUAACAAGUAUUUCAAGUUUUGGGUUUACUAAAUUUAAAAAACAUUAGAGAUACAAAUUAAUUAAUAAAAGGAUGAUUUUCUUAUUUUGGGAAAUUGAAGAAUGCCAUUUUCUGCACCUAGCAUCAGACCGAGGAUAUGAGGUGAGUCUGCCUAUGUGAAUCGCCUUGCCUGUUUUCAUUAAUGACCGUGUCCUUUGUUAAUAUUCUUACGAUGAAAUGUAUUCAGAAAUAUCAUUUCAUUUUCUGAAAGUAAAAACUUAGUCAAAAAACAGAGCCAAAUGAGACACAGUGAUGGUGAACCAUUAAUCUCUUCCAAACGGGCUCUUUAAACUCUAAUAAUAAAAAGUAUCACCUGGCUUCGCAUUUCCCCUUUGCAUAUGCAUACAUUUUGAAUGCUUUUCAGUUAUCUUGUCUAUUGUUGUUUACGUGCAUUUUAAAAUCUAUGGUGAAUAUGUGUUCUCUCUGAGACUUGUUUAUGGAAUCCUCAAGAAAAGAGUGGAAGAAGCUGUUUAUUGAAAUCUCUUGUCUCACACUUGGCACCAGGACAUGCCAGGUUUAAAACAAUGUUUGCCUGAAGGUAUCCUUUUCUGAUCCAGCAUAGUUACUUACAUGUUGCCUGCUAGGUAUACUUCUCAACUGUUUUAACAUUAAUGUGUUGAUAAUAUUAAUAAUAAUAGAAGAAUUUGCAAUAACAACUGUCAUUUAUUACAGCAAUACAAUUUUUGAAAUAAAUUUUAAAUAGAUCAUUCUAAACACCACAGCCUAUGCAUGUGGAAACUGACCCUAAUAUAGCUUAGCCCUAUUAAGGAUUUUGCAAGGUAGCAUAACCAGUUAGUGGAAUAACUAGUAUAUGUGUCCAAUACUCCAGACUCAUGACCCCAAGCCCUCUGCCGCACGUCUUCUAAUCUUUCUAAAAGUAGCAGCAUUUAAAUUAUUUUUGUCAUUCAGGAAUGCUUAUUAAAUAAAUUUCAAUCACAUAUUUAAUAAAUGUAAAAAAUACCCAAAGCUUGAUUGUCGAAAGUGUUC